This 177-nucleotide small nuclear RNA is filed under the name Aegilops tauschii subsp. strangulata. RNAcentral's name for it is "snRNA U1". It matches the Rfam family "U1 spliceosomal RNA". Rfam says of the family: U1 is a small nuclear RNA (snRNA) component of the spliceosome (involved in pre-mRNA splicing). Lineage: Eukaryota; Viridiplantae; Streptophyta; Magnoliopsida; Poales; Poaceae. The record is from RNAcentral.
AUACUUACCUGGACGGGGUCGACGGAUGAUCAGGAAGACCCGUGGCCUAGGAAGACCCGUGGCCUAGGCUAGUGGCCCACAUUGCACAUGGUGGGUGCGCUGGCUUACCAUCUCCCCAAGCGGAGAGUGGACGUCAUAAUUUGUGGUUGAGGGGGUACGCGUUCGCGUGGCCCCUGC